RNAcentral lists this ribosomal RNA (467 nucleotides) under uncultured bacterium. RNAcentral's name for it is "partial 16S ribosomal RNA". It matches the Rfam family "Bacterial small subunit ribosomal RNA", at positions 28 to 507 of the family's 1533-position model. The record is from RNAcentral.
GACGAACGCUGGCGGCGUGCUUAACACAUGCAAGUCGAACGGUGAAGCUCCAGCUUGCUGGAGUGGAUCAGUGGCGAACGGGUGAGUAACACGUGAGCAACCUGCCCCUGACUCUGGAAUAAGCGCUGGAAACGGCGUCUAAUACUGGAUACGAGAAGGGUCCGCAUGGGCACUUUCUGGAAAGUUUUUCGGUUGGGGAUGGGCUCGCGGCCUAUCAGCUUGUUGGUGAGGUAAUGGCUCACCAAGGCGACGACGGGUAGCCGGCCUGAGAGGGCGACCGGCCACACUGGGAAUGAGAAACGGCCCAGACUCCUACGGGAGGAAGCAGUGGGGAAUAUUGAACAAGGGGCGAAAGCCUGAUGAAGCGAGGCGGGGGGAGGGAUGACGGCCUUCGGGUUGUAAACCUCUUUCAGAAGGGAAGAAGCGAAGUGACGGUACCUGCAGAAGAAGCACCGGCUAACUACGUG